Molecule: ribosomal RNA, 450 nt
Filed under: uncultured bacterium
Lineage: Bacteria
Description: partial 16S ribosomal RNA
Rfam family: Bacterial small subunit ribosomal RNA
Source: RNAcentral
GUGGGGAAUAUUGGACAAUGGGCGAAAGCCUGAUCCAGCCAUGCCGCGUGUGUGAAGAAGGUCUUCGGAUUGUAAAGCACUUUAAGUUGGGAGGAAGGGCAGUAAGUUAAUACCUUGAUGUUUUGACGUUACCGACAGAAUAAGCACCGGCUAACUUCGUGCCAGCAGCCGCGGUAAUACGAAGGGUGCAAGCGUUAAUCGGAAUUACUGGGCGUAAAGCGCGCGUAGGUGGUUUUGUAAGUUGGAGGUGAAAUCCCCGGGCUCAACCUGGGAACUGCCUCCAAAACUGCAUGACUAGAGUACGGGAGAGGGUAGUGGAAUUUCCUGUGUAGCGGUGAAAUGCGUAGAUAUAGGAAGGAACACCAGUGGCGAAGGCGACUACCUGGACUGAUACUGACACUGAGGUGCGAAAGCGUGGGGAGCAAACAGGAUUAGAUACCCCGGUAGUCC